UUUAAAUGUAAUAAAAUAAAUCAAAGGAUUAAUAGUUAAGAUCUUUAAAUUUAAAAAUUUUGGCGGUAUUUUAGUCUAUUUAGAGGAACCUGUUCUGUAAUCGAUAAUCCACGAGUUAAAUAACUUAAUUUAUUAGUUUGUAUAUCGUUGUUAUUAAAUAUUUUAUAAGAAUUAAAUGUUUAAGAGUUUUAAAGAGAAAAAAUUUCAAAUCAAGGUGCAGUUUAUAAUUAAGAAGAAAUGGGUUACAAUAGAUUUAUUUAAAUGAAUUUAUUUAUGAAAAAUGUAAUGAAGGUGGAUUUAAUAGUAAUAAAAUUAAUAUUAAUUUUAUGAUUUUAGCUCUAAAAUGUGU
RNAcentral lists this ribosomal RNA (349 nucleotides) under Graptodytes ignotus. RNAcentral's name for it is "partial 12S ribosomal RNA". The record is from RNAcentral. Lineage: Eukaryota; Metazoa; Arthropoda; Insecta; Coleoptera; Dytiscidae.